RNAcentral lists this ribosomal RNA (161 nucleotides) under Anaerobutyricum hallii. Its description in RNAcentral is "[Eubacterium] hallii partial 23S ribosomal RNA". It matches the Rfam family "Bacterial large subunit ribosomal RNA", at positions 2766 to 2925 of the family's 2925-position model. Lineage: Bacteria; Bacillati; Bacillota; Clostridia; Lachnospirales; Lachnospiraceae. The record is from RNAcentral.
AAACGCUGAAGGCAUCUAAGCGUGAAGCCCCCCUCAAGAUGAGAUAUCCAUACUCGAAAGAGUGAGAGACCCCUUAGAGACGAUGAGGUAGAUAGGGCAGAGAUGGAAGCACAGCGAUGUGUGGAGUUGACUGUUACUAAUCGGUCGAAAGCUUGACCUUA